UACAUGAAAGCCUUCACUCGCCAUUGUGAACUAUAUGAACGUGUUGGAUGGCCUUCUCUAUCAACACGAAGACUUCAACACUGGCAUAUCUUCAUAUACAAGGUUAUUUUAGGUCUAUUUCCAUCCUACCUUCUGACCUAUAUCAGUGUAAAUAAUACCAGGGCUUACAAUCUUUGUUCCCAGGAUUUUUUCCUUCUGUCUUUUCCACAGGUUAGAACUGAGCUGGGG
Etheostoma spectabile (orangethroat darter) is the source of this 228-nucleotide long non-coding RNA. RefSeq lists it as uncharacterized. NCBI's taxonomy places the organism in Eukaryota, Metazoa, Chordata, Actinopteri, Perciformes, Percidae. The record is from RefSeq and is a predicted model, not a curated record. The transcript has 3 exons.